Molecule: long non-coding RNA, 1669 nt
Filed under: Salvia miltiorrhiza (redroot sage)
Lineage: Eukaryota; Viridiplantae; Streptophyta; Magnoliopsida; Lamiales; Lamiaceae
Description: long non-coding RNA (SMIL_LNC006557)
Source: RNAcentral
UGAACAAGGAGAGGGAAGAGAUGCGAGGAAUUCAAUCGUGGAACACAAUGAUCUGUAUUGUAUGUACGUCCGCGCAUAUAUAAUUAUAGUAUGUGUGUGUGAGAUCUAGGGCACAUCGAACUACAAUUUGACCAAUCACGGAGAGAGAGAGACGAGAUGGGUUGACGCCACACUAUAAUAUAGUAAUUUGGUUUAAUAGAGACAAUUGAUGCAUAGGUGAUGGGUGAGGAUUCCAAACUCUUGUGUGUGUUCUUUCCAGUGUUGGCUUCUGCAUUGAGAGAGGAGAGAGAAGUAAACGUUUCAUCCAAGCAUAACAAACAUUUGAGCCGGCGACGAGAGUGGGAGGCACGCGCAGGGAGAGCGCAUGGCCCAAUUUUGAAAUGCUACAAGUUGGCAUGUGGGGUUCUGAGUUGUGCUGUGACUUCGCUUACUUGUCCAUAUAUUUAUUCCUCUGCCGGGAAGCUUCGGAUCAAUCCCAAAUUCGUGGACCAAAAAUUAACAUCAUUGCAAAAUUAAUUACUUAUUCCAUGUCUAAGAAAACGACCGGGAAUUUGAAAAGUCUACUUGCUCCAUUUCCUGGUAUACUCAUGAUUAGUUACUAAAAUUAAUUGUGUGACUUCCUUUAGCCCAUUCAUAAAAAUUAGCUUCUUUAUUUUUUGAAGAAAACUUAUUAGCUAAUUUUCCUAAUAUAUUGUUUUGUGAACCUACUACUUCAUUUACAUGUUAAUCAUAUGCCACUAUUGUAAUCCAUCCGUUUAUUAAACUAGUACUCAUAUUUUCUUUUGAUCCGUGAUCAAAUAAGUAUUCAUUUUUCUUUUCUUUUCUGAUAAGUGUAUUCCACAUAAUUCAUUCACACUAAAAAUGAGAUUUUCAUUCCACUUAAACACUUAAUUAUAUAUUUUUAAUUUAUGUUAUUUUUAAAUGGAUAUUUAUUUGGUGAAGGGGGAGUAUCCUAAGAAUGGUCAAAAUUUGAUUGCUUGGGCUGUGAAAUUGUAGGCCCAUAAAUAUUUAAAACUGGCACAAACACAGUCCAAUCUCCCGCAUAUGGGAUCGACUACUUUUAUAACAUCGGUCAAUGUGUUUGAAAAGGUCCAGUUUUAGAUUUAGGUGUGUGGGGGGUUUAACCAUGUGUCUGAAUUUGUCAAAUAAAUUGACGGGCUCGAAUUGGGUCAAUCUAUGUGAUAACUUUGUGCUCGUUCCAUUGGUACGAUACAAUAUAACAAGAUAGAACGUACCCUGUUUCAUAAAAAUAUGUAUAUUUUUAUUUCUUUCGUCCUAUAAAAAUAUACAUAGCUUAUUUAUAAUAGUAAUUCUUCCAGUAAACAUCACAAUCAAUGUGANCGAGAUGGGUUGACGCCACACUAUAAUAUAGUAAUUUGGUUUAAUAGAGACAAUUGAUGCAUAGGUGAUGGGUGAGGAUUCCAAACUCUUGUGUGUGUUCUUUCCAGUGUUGGCUUCUGCAUUGAGAGAGGAGAGAGAAGUAAACGUUUCAUCCAAGCAUAACAAACAUUUGAGCCGGCGACGAGAGUGGGAGGCACGCGCAGGGAGAGCGCAUGGCCCAAUUUUGAAAUGCUACAAGUUGGCAUGUGGGGUUCUGAGUUGUGCUGUGACUUCGCUUACUUGUCCAUAUAUUUAUUCCUCUGCCGGGAAGCUUCGGAUCAAUCCCAAA